CUAAGUGACUAACUAAGUGACUAACUAAGUGACUAACUAAGUGACUAACUAAGUGACUAACUAACUACUCCCCACAUGAGGAUGAGUCUAUGUUACUGUUCCUGGGGCUGGUGUCUCCAGGCAGGAUACUCGUCUUCACUGUCAAGGACGAGGGCUCUUUCCACUUGUCAGCGUCUGCCCGCCAGAGACUCACAGAGUUGGGCAGUCUGCAGGCCUCAGGCCUUACUCAGUCACUGACUAAGUGACUAACUAAGUGACUAACUAAGUGACUAAGUGACUAACUAAGUGACUAACUAAGUGACUAACUAAGUGACUAUAUUAUCUAGGACGAGGGCUCUUUCCACUUGUCAGCGUCUGCCCGCCAGAGACUCACAGAGUUGGGCAGUCUGCAGGCCUCAGGGCUUGCCUGGCGAGACACUUGGGCCCUGGUUCUCUACAAUGGCGGUGAGAGUAAGGGAGAGUUGAUUUCCCACUCUCCCUCACUCACAUCCUGGGCAGACCCAGUCCUCCUGAGGACUGAAAUCACUCUGGUUCCUGUUGAAGGUGGGUGGGUG
This is a non-coding RNA of Petromyzon marinus (sea lamprey), 554 nucleotides long. Lineage: Eukaryota; Metazoa; Chordata; Hyperoartia; Petromyzontiformes; Petromyzontidae. The record is from RefSeq and is a predicted model, not a curated record.